UACGGAGGGUGCGAGCGUUAUUCGGAAUUAUUGGGCGUAAAGGGCGCGCAGGCGGCCCUUCAAGUCGGAUGUGAAAGCCCGGGGCUCAACCCCGGAAGAGCAUUCGAUACUGUGGGGCUUGAGUAUGGGAGAGGGAAGUGGAAUCCCUGGUGUAGAGGUGAAAUUCGUAGAUAUCAGGAGGAACACCGGUGGCGAAGGCGACUUCCUGGACCAAUACUGACGCUGAGGCGCGAAGGCGUGGGGAGCAAACAGGAUUAGAUACCCUGGUAGUCCACGCAGUAAACGGUGAUCACUAGGUGUAGCGGGUAUUGACCCCUGCUGUGCCGCAGCCAACGCAUUAAGUGAUCCGCCUGGGGAGUACGGCCGCAAGGUUAAA
RNAcentral lists this ribosomal RNA (376 nucleotides) under uncultured bacterium. RNAcentral's name for it is "bacterial SSU rRNA". It matches the Rfam family "Bacterial small subunit ribosomal RNA", at positions 524 to 898 of the family's 1533-position model. The record is from RNAcentral.